ACACUCAACACACACUCAACACACACACGAGGCAGCACAGACCGUCAGAUCACCUGCAGCCAUGGAAGGAAUGAUCUCCAAGAUGGUCGGAGAAAAAGUUGAGGAUCUGGUAGAGACCACCAUAAACAAGGCCAUGGGUAAGAAGGAGGAGGAGGAGGAGGAUAAAGGACCCAUGGAUCAGGUGAUGUCACUGGUUGGUGGAGGCGGUGAAAGCGACGGCAUCGGAGACCUCUUGAGUACGCCCGGGGGAGUGAUGGAGCAAAUCGGCGGCUUCUUUAAGUAGACGCCCUGCAGACCUCCACCUGAAACCACCGUCUCACCUCCACCUGCUGACUGCUGGACAAUCAAUGUGUUCAAUAUUUACUAAUGAUUUGUUGUUAUUUGGUUUUACAUCGUCACGUCCUCAUAACUCAUUUGGGUUGAGGACAAUAAAACUCUUGUAACUAAAUGUUUCUUACCAGUGGCCACCAGUUGGUGAUGCUCAUGUUUGUGUUUUCUUUACUGGUUUUACACCGUGAGAUGUACUAAAUAUGAUCUGUUGAAACUUUACUGAAGUGGGUUAUUAUAUGGAGAAAUGAAUAAAUCUCAGUCAUCUGGA
Molecule: long non-coding RNA, 598 nt
Organism: Anoplopoma fimbria (sablefish)
Lineage: Eukaryota; Metazoa; Chordata; Actinopteri; Perciformes; Anoplopomatidae
Exons: 3
Source: RefSeq, a predicted model, not a curated record